UCAUCUCCGGGGGUAGAGCACUGUUUCGGCUAGGGGGCCAUCCCGGCUUACCAACCCGAUGCAAACUGCGAAUACCGGAGAAUGUUAUCACGGGAGACACACGGCGGGUGCUAACGUCCGUCGUGAAGAGGGAAACAACCCAGACCGCCAGCUAAGGUCCCAAAGUCAUGGUUAAGUGGGAAACGAUGUGGGAAGGCACAGACAGCCAGGAUGUUGGCUUAGAAGCAGCCAUCAUUUAAAGAAAGCGUAAUAGCUCACUGGUCGAGUCGGCCUGCGCGGAAGAUGUAACGGGGCUAAACCAUGCACCGAAGCUGCGGCAGCGACGCUUAUGCGUUGUUGGGUAGGGGAGCGUUCUGUAAGCCGCAGAAGGUGGACUGUGAGGUCUGCUGGAGGUAUCAGAAGUGCGAAUGCUGACAUAAGUAACGAUAAAGCGGGUGAAAAGCCCGCUCGCCGGAAGACCAAGGGUUCCUGUCCAACGUUAAUCGGGGCAGGGUGAGUCGACCCCUAAGGCGAGGCCGAAAGGCGUAGUCGAUGGGAAACAGGUUAAUAUUCCUGUACUCGGUGUUACUGCGAAGGGGGGACGGAGAAGGCUAUAUCAGCCGGGCGACGGUUGUCCCGGUUUAAGCAUGUAGGCGGAGGUUCCAGGUAAAUCCGGAAUCUUGUUAACGCUGAGGUGUGAUGACGAGGCACUACGGUGCUGAAGUGAUAAAUGCCCUGCUUCCAGGAAAAGCCUCUAAGCAUCAGGUAACACAGAAUCGUACCCCAAACCGACACAGGUGGUCAGGUAGAGAAUACCAAGGCGCUUGAGAGAACUCGGGUGAAGGAACUAGGCAAAAUGGUGCCGUAACUUCGGGAGAAGGCACGCUGUCGUUAGGUGAUACCCCUUGCGGGUGGAGCUGAAGGCAGUCGAAGAUACCAGCUGGCUGCAACUGUUUAUUAAAAACACAGCACUGUGCAAACACGAAAGUGGACGUAUACGGUGUGACGCCUGCCCGGUGCCGGAAGGUUAAUUGAUGGGGUUAUCCGCAAGGAGAAGCUCUUGAUCGAAGCCCCGGUAAACGGCGGCCGUAACUAUAACGGUCCUAAGGUAGCGAAAUUCCUUGUCGGGUAAGUUCCGACCUGCACGAAUGGCGUAAUGAUGGCCAGGCUGUCUCCACCCGAGACUCAGUGAAAUUGAACUCGCUGUGAAGAUGCAGUGUACCCGCGGCAAGACGGAAAGACCCCGUGAACCUUUACUACAGCUUGACACUGAACAUUGAGCCUUGAUGUGUAGGAUAGGUGGGAGGCUUUGAAGCGUGGACGCCAGUCUGCGUGGAGCCAACCUUGAAAUACCACCCUUUAACGUUUGAUGUUCUAACCUGGCGCCGUGAUCCGGCGUGGGGACAGUGUCUGGUGGGUAGUUUGACUGGGGCGGUCUCCUCCUAAAGAGUAACGGAGGAGCACGAAGGUUAGCUAAUCACGGUCGGACAUCGUGAGGUUAGUGCAAUGGCAUAAGCUAGCUUGACUGCGAGAGUGACGGCUCGAGCAGGUACGAAAGUAGGUCAUAGUGAUCCGGUGGUUCUGAAUGGAAGGGCCAUCGCUCAACGGAUAAAAGGUACUCCGGGGAUAACAGGCUGAUACCGCCCAAGAGUUCAUAUCGACGGCGGUGUUUGGCACCUCGAUGUCGGCUCAUCACAUCCUGGGGCUGAAGUAGGUCCCAAGGGUACGGCUGUUCGCCGUUUAAAGUGGUACGCGAGCUGGGUUUAGAACGUCGUGAGACAGUUCGGUCCCUAUCUGCCGUGGGCGCUGGAGAAUUGAGAGGGGUUGCUCCUAGUACGAGAGGACCGGAGUGAACGCACCACUGGUGUUCGGGUUGUCAUGCCAAUGGCAUUGCCCGGUAGCUAAGUGCGGAAAAGAUAAGCGCUGAAAGCAUCUAAGCGCGAAACUUGCCUCGAGAUGAGUUCUCCCUGGGUCCUUGAGACCCCUGAAGGGACGUUGAAGACUACGACGUUGAUAGGCCGGGUGUGUAAGCGCAGCGAUGCGUUGAGCUAACCGGUACUAAUGACCCGUGAGGCUUAACCUU
RNAcentral lists this ribosomal RNA (2062 nucleotides) under Erwinia sp. JUb26. Its description in RNAcentral is "bacterial LSU rRNA". It matches the Rfam family "Bacterial large subunit ribosomal RNA", at positions 890 to 2925 of the family's 2925-position model. Lineage: Bacteria; Pseudomonadati; Pseudomonadota; Gammaproteobacteria; Enterobacterales; Erwiniaceae. The record is from RNAcentral.